Molecule: transfer RNA, 71 nt
Filed under: archaeon
Lineage: Archaea
Description: tRNA-Gly
Rfam family: tRNA
About the family: Transfer RNA (tRNA) molecules are approximately 80 nucleotides in length. Their secondary structure includes four short double-helical elements and three loops (D, anti-codon, and T loops). Further hydrogen bonds mediate the characteristic L-shaped molecular structure. tRNAs have two regions of fundamental functional importance: the anti-codon, which is responsible for specific mRNA codon recognition, and the 3' end, to which the tRNAs corresponding amino acid is attached (by aminoacyl-tRNA synthetases). tRNAs cope with the degeneracy of the genetic code in two manners: having more than one tRNA (with a specific anti-codon) for a particular amino acid; and 'wobble' base-pairing, i.e. permitting non-standard base-pairing at the 3rd anti-codon position.
Source: RNAcentral
GCGCUGGUAGUCUAGUGGUAUGACAGCUGCCUGCCACGCAGCGGGCCCGGGUCCGAUUCCCGGCCGGCGCA